CAGUAGCCGCGGUAAUACGGAGGGAGCUAGCGUUGUUCGGAAUUACUGGGCGUAAAGCGCGCGUAGGCGGUUACUCAAGUCAGAGGUGAAAGCCCGGGGCUCAACCCCGGAACUGCCUUUGAAACUAGGUGACUAGAAUCUUGGAGAGGUCAGUGGAAUUCCGAGUGUAGAGGUGAAAUUCGUAGAUAUUCGGAAGAACACCAGUGGCGAAGGCGACUGACUGGACAAGUAUUGACGCUGAGGUGCGAAAGCGUGGGGAGCAAACAGGAUUAGAUACCCGGGUAGUCCCUGUCUCUUAUAC
This 301-nucleotide ribosomal RNA is filed under the name uncultured bacterium. RNAcentral's name for it is "partial 16S ribosomal RNA". It matches the Rfam family "Bacterial small subunit ribosomal RNA", at positions 509 to 807 of the family's 1533-position model. The record is from RNAcentral.